Molecule: long non-coding RNA, 476 nt
Filed under: Trifolium pratense (red clover)
Lineage: Eukaryota; Viridiplantae; Streptophyta; Magnoliopsida; Fabales; Fabaceae
Description: long non-coding RNA (TPRA_LNC014393)
Source: RNAcentral
UGGUGGCAAGAAAGAAUGAUGGUGCAAAGAACCUUGGAGCAAUAACAAAAAGGUCUCUCCCUCUCUCCCUGAGUUUUUUCGGUUAUGUUAAUUUUAGAUCUAUAUGUUUUUUAUGUUCUAACUUACUUUUAAAUUUGUUAUUGAUUUGGUUGUUACAGUAUAGUUGAUGGCAGAAAAGAAUGAUGGUGCAAAGAACCUUGGACCAAUAACAAAAAGGUCUCUCUCUCCCCGAGUUUUUUCGGUUAUGUUAAUUUUAGAUCUAUAUGUUUUUUAUGUUCUAACUUACUUUUAAAUUUGUUAUUGAUUUGGUUGUUACAGUAUAGUUGGUGGCAAGAAAGAAUGAUGGUGCAAAGAACCUUGGAACAAUAACAAAAAGGUUAUGGUUUAAUUUAUUUUGUAUUUUUGAAGUUUUCCGUUUAUUGUAUUUUUUUCCCAAAAAUGUAUUCUCCCAUUUAUCAUCAAAUAAUGUUUUUGAU